CAUUUUUGUAAAUUGAGAACACAAUGGCCAAGAGUUUGACAGUUCUUAUUUCUAUAUCUUUGUUUCUUAUUUGGUCAGGACCUCGACCAGUGGAAACAGCAUGCAAGUCUAACCCUGCUGGGAACUUGUAUUGUAAUGAGAUCUACUACAGAGACUAUGGGGCGGAUCUAGUUCUCAUGUGUGAGGACUAUCAAGCUAGAAAGGACUGCUGUCUAUUUUGUGUCGGGUUCAAAAAGUAGACAUUCAUCUCAACUUGAUAUCCUCUGGUGGACCAGGACUAAAAAGAAGCACAUCUUGACGAUUGUAAAUCUCUGUAGAUUAAUGAAUGAAGAUUUUACUGCAAGAAUC
Long non-coding RNA from Saccostrea echinata, 348 nucleotides. RefSeq lists it as uncharacterized. The transcript is spliced from 3 exons. The record is from RefSeq and is a predicted model, not a curated record. NCBI's taxonomy places the organism in Eukaryota, Metazoa, Mollusca, Bivalvia, Ostreida, Ostreidae.